AUACUUAACUGGCAGGGGAGACACCUUGAUCAGAAGGAGGUUUUCCCCGGGUGAGGCUCAGCCAUUGCACUCCAGCUGUGCUGACCCCUGCAAUUUCCCCAAAUGCGGGAAACCUGACUGCAUAAUUUGUGGUAGUGGGGGUCUAUGUGCACACUUUCCCCUA
RNAcentral lists this small nuclear RNA (163 nucleotides) under Salvator merianae (Argentine black and white tegu). RNAcentral's name for it is "U1 spliceosomal RNA (ENSSMRG00000018909.1)". It matches the Rfam family "U1 spliceosomal RNA". From Rfam's summary of the family: U1 is a small nuclear RNA (snRNA) component of the spliceosome (involved in pre-mRNA splicing). Its 5' end forms complementary base pairs with the 5' splice junction, thus defining the 5' donor site of an intron. Lineage: Eukaryota; Metazoa; Chordata; Lepidosauria; Squamata; Teiidae. The record is from Rfam by way of RNAcentral.